RNAcentral lists this ribosomal RNA (268 nucleotides) under uncultured bacterium. RNAcentral describes it as "partial 16S ribosomal RNA". It matches the Rfam family "Bacterial small subunit ribosomal RNA", at positions 57 to 305 of the family's 1533-position model. The record is from RNAcentral.
GCAAGUCGCACGAGAACGCUUCAGCUUGCUGAAGUUAGUAAAGUGGCGCACGGGUGAGUAACGCGUGGGUAAUCUUCCCCCGAAUUUGGGAUAACAUUGCGAAAGCGAUGCUAAUACCGGAUAAUAUCUUUAAUACUUUGGUAUCUAAGAUCAAAGGUGGCCUCUACAUGUAAGCUAUUGUUUGGGGAUGAGCCCGCGUACCAUUAGCUUGUUGGUAGGGUAACGGCCUACCAAGGCAGCGAUGGUUAGCUGGUCUGAGAGGAUGAUC